UACGUAGGGUGCAAGCGUUGUCCGGAAUUAUUGGGCGUAAAGAGCUCGUAGGCGGUCUGUCGCGUCGGCUGUGAAAACCUGGGGCUCAACUCCGGGCGUGCAGCCGAUACGGGCAGACUAGAAUUCGGUAGGGGAGACUGGAAUUCCUGGUGUAGCGGUGAAAUGCGCAGAUAUCAGGAGGAACACCGGUGGCGAAGGCGGGUCUCUGGACCGACACUGACGCUGAGGUGCGAAAGCGUGGGGAGCAAACAGG
Molecule: ribosomal RNA, 253 nt
Filed under: uncultured bacterium
Lineage: Bacteria
Description: partial 16S ribosomal RNA
Rfam family: Bacterial small subunit ribosomal RNA
Source: RNAcentral